ACUAUCUUACUUUUAGCUCAUCGGGAGGCUCAAUGGAAUGGAUAGAAGAAGAAGAUGAGGCUAAUUGGAUGUGUGUCAUCAACUCACAAUGGGAAGAAUGAGAACAAUUGCGAAACAG
This is a non-coding RNA of Caenorhabditis elegans, 118 nucleotides long. Lineage: Eukaryota; Metazoa; Nematoda; Chromadorea; Rhabditida; Rhabditidae. The record is from Ensembl.